RNAcentral lists this ribosomal RNA (301 nucleotides) under uncultured bacterium. RNAcentral's name for it is "partial 16S ribosomal RNA". It matches the Rfam family "Bacterial small subunit ribosomal RNA", at positions 509 to 807 of the family's 1533-position model. The record is from RNAcentral.
CAGCCGCCACGGGAAUACGAAGGGGGCUAGCGUUGUUCGGAUUUACUGGGCGUAAAGCGCACGUAGGCGGAUCGAUCAGUCAGGGGUGAAAUCCCAGAGCUCAACUCUGGAACUGCCUUUGAUACUGUCGAUCUGGAGUAUGGAAGAGGUGAGUGGAAUUCCGAGUGUAGAGGUGAAAUUCGUAGAUAUUCGGAGGAACACCAGUGGCGAAGGCGGCUCACUGGUCCAUUACUGACGCUGAGGUGCGAAAGCGUGGGGAGCAAACAGGAUUAGAUACCCGCGUAGUCCCUGUCUCUUAUAC